AGUAGUGCCCCCGGUCCCGGCCGCAGCCGUUGUCCCGGCUGCCUCCUUCUCUCCACGGUGCUUCUUUGACGACCCCAUAAUUAGGUCGUCCGCCUGGAGCCGGGCCGCUACCCGAGCCCAGACGACGCAAAAUGGGAACACUUCCGGGUCGCGCGACCUCCCCGCUCCUGUUGCCGGAAACUAAGAGGGGCUGUUUCCGGGGCCUGCCUGGGAACCGCCAAAGGCUCUUGGGAGAGUGCGCGUUUCCGCCUGCCAGUAAGAUCCUACAGUGGUCUCAUUGGAAGGUGGAGACAAUCACCCUGGCCCACCUUCCUGGGUGACGUGAAGAACACUGGAAGGAUAGCUUGUCCCACCUCACCUGUGUUUCCGGGGUAUGCCCUCUGCCUUGCCGGCCUCAGCCAGCAGCUGUUCCUCAUCUACUCCAAAUGCUGACAACACCUGGGAGAAGCGCCGAUUUGCAGUGAGCUUGGCGUUGGUCUGAUGGGAGAAAAGAAAGGUUCCUACCCUUCACCAAGUGACCCUGCUGGGGUCACUGUGGGUCCCAGGCCUUCUGGGGAGAGCAGAUGCGACCCCACUCCAGCUUUGCUUCAGUACACGCUUGUCGAAGCAGCUCCAUUGGUGGUAAUGGUGGUGGGCCCGCUGCACAGCUGUUAGCCUCACCUGCAUGACCUGCUGAAACAGGAAGGGUCGGGCCUGCACCCUAUGCUGGAUGCCUUGGAGCUCUGCUUGGUACUCAGCAAAACGCUGUCGUUCCUUGCGCCUUGAACAGAGAGAUAGGACAGGCCUCUGAAUAGACACUUCCCAGGCUGAAGCCUGCUGGUCUUCCUUGAAGCUUAUUCACAUAAAAGUUCCCCUGAUACUUACAACGGCAUUAUACUCCCAUCCCAGCCCUUUACUUCUUGGGUGGGAUUACCAGGGUGGGGGGUGUUGGCCCCAUUUUACUGCUGGCUCAAGAAGGUGGUGGGGACUUAUUCUAGAUUGUAGGAUUAAGCACCUGUCCUGGGUUUAGGCUAUGUACAUCCAGGGUUUGCCCAACCUUCUGACCACACCCAAAGGAGGGAGCCUGUCCUGGCUUCCACAGCCUCCCAUCUGUCAACCACUUCCCCUUAUACUCCUCCUUUUGCCGCUUUGAGGAUGCUGUGUAUCGUGUGAUCUGGGGAGCCUUAGUUGAGUCCACUUGCCUUCACUACAGCAGGGUGGGGCAGUGCGCCCAGGUCCCUUAUGCCUUCUCUGUGUAGACAGCUUAGAAGGUGACAGGAACCAACCAAUGGUAUUGCAAAUAAAAGAACAUCUCCCAAAA
Mastomys coucha (southern multimammate mouse) is the source of this 1300-nucleotide long non-coding RNA. RefSeq lists it as uncharacterized. NCBI's taxonomy places the organism in Eukaryota, Metazoa, Chordata, Mammalia, Rodentia, Muridae. The transcript has 2 exons. The record is from RefSeq and is a predicted model, not a curated record.